This 501-nucleotide ribosomal RNA is filed under the name uncultured bacterium. RNAcentral describes it as "partial 16S ribosomal RNA". It matches the Rfam family "Bacterial small subunit ribosomal RNA", at positions 29 to 523 of the family's 1533-position model. The record is from RNAcentral.
AACGAACGUUAGCGGCGCGCCUAAGACAAGCAAGUCGAGCGAGAAAGGGAUUCGUCCCCGGUAAAGCGGCGCACGGGUGAGUAACACGUAGGUCAUCAACCCUCGAGUGGUGGAUAACUCUCCGAAAGGAGAGCUAAUACAGCAUGAUGCUAGUAAUAGCUAAAGCGGGCCUCUUCAUGAAAGCUCGCGCUAGAGGAUGAGCCUGCGGCCCAUCAGGUAGUUGGCGGAGUAACAGCCCACCAAGCCAAGGACGGGUAGCUGGUCUGAGAGGAUGAACAGCCACACUGGAACUGAGACACGGUCCAGACUCCUACGGGAGGCAGCAGUCGGGAAUCUUCCGCAAUGGGCGAAAGCCUGACGGAGCGACGCCGCGUGAGUGAUGAAGGCCUUCGGGUUGUAAAGCUCUGUGGGGAGAGAAGAAUAAGUGCAGGCUAAUACUCUGCAUGAUGACGGUAUCUCCUUAGCAAACACCGGCUAACUCUGUGCCAGCCGCCGCAGUAA